Molecule: ribosomal RNA, 397 nt
Filed under: uncultured bacterium
Lineage: Bacteria
Description: bacterial SSU rRNA
Rfam family: Bacterial small subunit ribosomal RNA
Source: RNAcentral
UAAUACGAAGGGUGCGAGCGUUGUUCGGAAUUACUGGGCGUAAAGGGUUUGUAGGCUGAAAUGUAAGUCAAGUGUGAAAUCCCCGAGCUAAACUUGGGACGUGCAUUUGAAACUGUGUUUCUUGAGUAUCGUAGAGGGUGGUGGAAUUGUAGGUGUAGGAGUGACAUCCGUAGAGAUCUGCAGGAACAUCAGAGGCGAAGGCGACCACCUGGCCGAUGACUGACGCUGAGGAACGAAAGCGUGGGGAGCAAACAGGAUUAGAUACCCUGGUAGUCCACGCCGUAAACGAUGAUAACUAGGUGUUGGAAGAAUUGACCCUUUCAGUACCGUAGCCCACGCGCUAAGUUAUCCGCCUGGGGAGUACGGCCGCAAGGCUAAAACUCAAAUGAAUUGACGG